GGCCUGGUUGGGUGGUCUUGCCGCAAGGUAAGCACUGCUCCGAUCGGGUCUUUCCUUCUGGGGAACCAGCGUGCUCUUAAUUGGGUGCGUUGGGGAUCCAGGACUUUUACUUUGAAAAAAUUAGAGUGUUUAAAGCAGGCGAAACAGCUUGAAUACAUUAGCAUGGAAUAAUAAAAGAGG
This 180-nucleotide ribosomal RNA is filed under the name uncultured Glomeromycotina. Its description in RNAcentral is "partial small subunit ribosomal RNA". The record is from RNAcentral. Lineage: Eukaryota; Fungi; Glomeromycota.